This is a transfer RNA of Prunus persica (peach), 74 nucleotides long. It matches the Rfam family "tRNA". Rfam says of the family: Transfer RNA (tRNA) molecules are approximately 80 nucleotides in length. The record is from Rfam. Lineage: Eukaryota; Viridiplantae; Streptophyta; Magnoliopsida; Rosales; Rosaceae.
GGCUUAUUAGCUUAGUUGGUUAGGGCAUCGUGCUAAUAACCCGAAGAUUGCAAGUUCGAGACCUGCAUGGGCCA